Molecule: ribosomal RNA, 624 nt
Filed under: Triticum aestivum (bread wheat)
Lineage: Eukaryota; Viridiplantae; Streptophyta; Magnoliopsida; Poales; Poaceae
Description: partial small subunit ribosomal RNA
Source: RNAcentral
AUGCAGGAGCAAUAUGUUAAUCGGCACAAACCACGGCACAAAACCAAUAAGACAAACCUUCAACAUUAUCAAAUUGAGUGUCUUAAUUCCGUCAUUGAUUGGCAGCUUCAAGAGUUUGAUGACCGCUUCAAUGAGGUAAAUUCUGCAUUGCUUGGACACAUGGCUUCUUUCAACCCCAAAGACUCCUUUGCUGCUUUUAACUUGGACAACUUAGUGAAGCUAGCUGAGUUUUAUCCGGAUGACUUUGAUUCAAGAAAAUUGGAUGAUCUUGGUCCUGAACUUCGCACUUACAUUGACAAUGUGCGAGCAGAUGAAAGGUUCGCCAAUUUGGAUGGAAUUGCUGAUCUUGCUAAACUAAUGGUGGAAACAAAUAAGCAUAUUACGUUUCCUUUGGUUUAUCAUCUUUUAAAGCUAGUACUGAUAUUGCCAGUUGCCACUGCAUCAGUGGAGAGAUGCUUUUCAGCUAUGAAUGUUGUAAAAAAAAAGUUACGCUACAAAAUGGGUGAUCAAUUCAUGAGGGAUUGUCUAAUAUGCUAUGUGGAGAAAGAUAUAUUUUCUACCAUUACCAAUGAUGCAGUGUUUAAUAUUUUUAAGGCAGUGAAAGAUCGAAAGGGGACACUCUAA